UGGGGAGUAUUGCACAAUGGGGGAAACCCUGAUGCAGCAACGCCGCGUGGGUGAAGAAGGCUCUUGGGUCGUAAAGCCCUUUCGACAGGAAAGAAGGGGCCAUAAGUUAAUAACUUGUGGUUCUGACGGUACCUGGUGAAGAAGCACCGGCUAAUUUCGUGCCAGCAGCCGCGGUAAUACGAAAGGUGCAAGCGUUGUUCGGAAUUAUUGGGCGUAAAGCGCACACAGGCGGAACCGUAUGUCGGUUGUGAAAUCCCCGGGCUCAACCUGGGAAUUGCAGCCGAAACUGCGGAUCUUGAAUACUUGAGAGGGUGGGAGAAUUCCUGGUGGAGAAGUGAAAUUCGUAGAGAUCAGGAGGAAUACCGGAGGCGAAGGCGCCUACCUGGCAAUGUAUUGACGCUCAAGUGCGAAAGCGUGGGGAGCAAACAGG
RNAcentral lists this ribosomal RNA (430 nucleotides) under uncultured bacterium. RNAcentral's name for it is "partial 16S ribosomal RNA". It matches the Rfam family "Bacterial small subunit ribosomal RNA", at positions 355 to 776 of the family's 1533-position model. The record is from RNAcentral.